GGAAUAGUAAACACCCAGAGAUUGUGUGGGUUUGCUUUCCUUCUUCUCCUGGAGGAAUGGAGGAUGUUGUUGAACCAGCCAUGUUGUUGAGCCAGCCUAGAGCCCUCCAGUCUGCUUUUUGCACCUCUUCCAUCCACUGAAGUGUCCAUCAGUGCUAGGAGGCAGCACAACUGACACAUCCACAUAGCUGAUCCACUUUUUCUGAUGCUUCAGUAAACCAUGAAGUCUGCUGGUCAGAUUGUUUCUUGUAAAAGCACAGUGAUAUGACACAAAGCUAUUUGCCUGGCUGAAGGCAGGUGGGAGGAAAGUGGUGGGAAAAGCCUGUAGCUAUGAAGAAUUUUUUUAAGGGGGUGGGGUUGGGUUUCAUUUCUCAAGAUUUGUAAUGUUUUCAGAGAGUAUAAAUACCUUGUGAAAAUUAAGACUAUAUUUUGUAAAUUUAUCUCCAAGUUGUCAUGUGCACAUUUUAUUA
Long non-coding RNA from Oxyura jamaicensis (ruddy duck), 469 nucleotides. RefSeq lists it as uncharacterized. Lineage: Eukaryota; Metazoa; Chordata; Aves; Anseriformes; Anatidae. The record is from RefSeq and is a predicted model, not a curated record. The transcript has 2 exons.